GUGCCCGCCCUAGUGGGGGCAGUGGGGUCGGGAAAGGGACAUUCCCCCCGAGGCAAGCGACGGGCCGCGGCUCCGAGUCCCCGCCUUGGGCUCGACGGUCCCCAAGGGCGGCACGGAUUCUUUCGCCAAACCCUCCGGGAGGCGACAGACUGGCCGCGUAGAGCCUCCCCGUCGGGUGCCUCCGAGCUUGUGGCCCGUGAGCCCCGGGUGACCCUAAGCAAGGGCGCCGGGCUCUCCAGCUGCGCGCCUCCCGCCGAGUCACGGACGCCUGGGCGAUAGCCUUUGGAACCGAGCGACGCCGAUUCUCUGGCUGCAGAAGGGGCUGGUCUGUCACCAGGAAACUUCAAAUUGAAAGUCUGCGGGUGGUGCCGAAGCCUUCCCGCCGCACCUUUACCAACCCUGGGGAAGACACAGCUCCUCUGAACGCGCAGGACGCGCCUCCGGCCCUCGCCCGGGCACAGGAGACCGUGCACCCAGCGGCUCUGCCCCCGCCGGCGCUGUGAAUUCUUUAGAAACGGAGCUGCGGCGCUUAGAGCUUAGAGCCGGUCGGUCCCGACCGUCCUUACCGCCCCUUGCCUCACUGCGAGGUCGGUCCGGUCCUGCAGCCUUGCAUGCCCUUGCAUCUGGAAUGCUUGGCCCAGGAUUCCUGCCACCUGCGGGUGAUUGGAAGGUUCUCUUGUAUUUGUUCAUGGACUAACCCUCUUGCCAAAGAGCUCUCCAACCAGAGAAUUGGGAUUUUUUGCUUUCUACUCUGCCAAGCAAUCAUGGCUCAUCAGCUCACCGGGCCACACAGGGCCACAUCCUCUGGGUUACAGGCAGAGCAAUGCUCAGGGCCUGGAGCUUCGGGUGCCAGCAGAAGAGCUGGGUGAGCCAAGCAGAACAGCCGUCUGUGAGUGAGUCACGGUUCCAGGACAACCAGCAAAUGGCCCAGCACCUGCUUGCCCAAUUCACCCGCACCUGCCAGCCUUACCAGAGAGUUUUGGCCACUGGACAGUCAUGGUGGGACAGGCCCAAACUGAUCACCCCUCCAGAGAAAGUGACAGAUGUUAGUGCCAGUGGGUCCUGCCCUCCCAUCAACAGAUGUCAAGACAUGAAAAAUUAGGGUAAAUGAAGGGUGCACGAUUAGAUUCGGGCCCAAGCUGGGUUCUUAUGGGUGCCAGAGACAGCUGCAAAGGCACGUCAGAGACAAUUGCCCUGAUGCGGCGGUGGCUGCCAGGCAGGCCAGGGUGCCUGGGGACAGCUGGACAAGGUGCUGACACGGGGCUCAUUCCUCUGUGAAGUAGUCUCUCAGCUGCUGGGAAUUGCCGCCAGCCCUCAGGUUUGUAUGUGUCCUGGCUCUAGAGCCGAGCUAGAGGAGCUGUGGGCCCAUCGGGGACAUGGGCCCACCUAGGGAUCUCAGCUUGUUUGUGGGUCUCCACAACACUAGCCCCAAGCUUGAGCUGACAGCUUCUUUCAGGGGAGCCCCACCCUUUUCUCCCACCUCCUUUUCUCAGCUUUCUCUCUGGCUCGGCCCUGGGUCCUCCUGUGACCAGCCCCAAGCACUUGGGCCUCAUCUCAGCACCUCACAGCCUCUCCCUUAUCGGCUUGACUUUUUCUCAUACUGUAUUUUACUUGAAAAUGUAGGUUCAGUAGUGCACCCCUCCCCAGUCCCCUGGUGCUGGUGAGCGGCUGCUUGGUGGAGACCCCAGUGUGCCUGUGGCACAGGCACUGAGCUGUUGGCUGACUGCAAAGCAUCCUGGUGCCUCUCCAGCACGAGCUCUGGGCACUGUGGUGGGCCCAAAGUUUGCAGGAAAGGUUUGCUUUGUUUUUAAGUGGAGCAUCUUCGUGGGGCCUAAGACAUACCCACAUCUAAAUAUUAUUCUAAAACUGUUCCAUGUUCCCUAAUAUAGAUGAAGAGGUAAGUUUGGUGUGAAUGACAUGACCUAUCCUCACAGGUAAAACAGCAGUGCCUUGUAGGUGAUUCUGAAACAACAACAGGGCUUUUUUUUUUUUUUAGUUGUGUGGGUUUUUUUAAGUGAAAUUCACAUAAUGUAAAAUUAAGCCUUUUUAAGUGUACAAUUCAGUGGUAUUUAGUACUUCCAUGGUACUGUGCCACUACCACCUCUAUCGGGUUCCAGAGCAUUUUCCUCACCCACAAGGAAACCCUGCACCCAUUAGCAGCCACUCCUCUCCCCCUCCCCCAGCCCCUGGCAACCAUGGAUCUACUUUGUCCUGUGAAUUUGCUUAUUCUGGACAUUUCAUAUAAAUGGAAUCAGGCAA
Miniopterus natalensis is the source of this 2259-nucleotide non-coding RNA. The record is from RefSeq and is a predicted model, not a curated record. NCBI's taxonomy places the organism in Eukaryota, Metazoa, Chordata, Mammalia, Chiroptera, Miniopteridae.